This 449-nucleotide ribosomal RNA is filed under the name uncultured bacterium. RNAcentral describes it as "partial 16S ribosomal RNA". It matches the Rfam family "Bacterial small subunit ribosomal RNA", at positions 29 to 523 of the family's 1533-position model. The record is from RNAcentral.
AACGAACGCUGGCGGCAGGCCUAACACAUGCAAGUCGAACGCACUUGCAAUAGGAAGUGGCAGACGGGUGAGUAACACGUGGGAACCUUCCCUAUAGUAUGGAAUAGCCGAGGGAAACUUGGAGUAAUAACGUAUACGCCGGAGAGGGGAAGGAUAUAUCGCUAUAGGUUGGGCUCGCGUAGGAUUAGCUAGUUGGUGAGGUAAUGGCUCACCAAAGCGACGAUCCUUAGCUGGUCGGCGAGGACGACCAGCCAAACUGGUACUGAGUCACGGCCCAGACUCCUCCGGGAAGCAGCAGUGUGAAAUAUUGGACAAUGGGCGCAAGCCUGAUCCAGCCAUGCCGCUUGAGCGAUGAAGGCCUUAGAGUUGUAAAGCUCUUUUGCCGGGGACGAUAAUGACGGUACCCGGAGAAUAAGUCCCGGCUAACUUCGUGCCAGCAGCCGCGGUAA